CUACGGGUUGCUCCAAUGGGGAAUAUUGGACAAUGGGCGAAAGCCUGAUCCAGCAAUGCCGCGUGAGUGAUGAAGGCCUUAGGGUUGUAAAGCUCUUUUACCAGGGAUGAUAAUGACAGUACCUGGAGAAUAAGCUCCGGCUAACUCCGUGCCAGCAGCCGCGGUAAUACGGAGGGAGCUAGCGUUGUUCGGAAUUACUGGGCGUAAAGAGUACGUAGGCGGUUAUUCAAGUCAGAGGUGAAAGCCUGGAGCUCAACUCCAGAACUGCCUUUGAAACUAGAUAGCUAGAAUUAUGGAGAGGUUAGUGGAAUUCCGAGUGUAGAGGUGAAAUUCGUAGAUAUUCGGAAGAACACCAGUGGCGAAGGCGACUAACUGGACAUAUAUUGACGCUGAGGUACGAAAGCGUGGGGAGCAAACAGGAUUAGAUACCCCCGUAGUC
This 439-nucleotide ribosomal RNA is filed under the name uncultured bacterium. RNAcentral's name for it is "partial 16S ribosomal RNA". It matches the Rfam family "Bacterial small subunit ribosomal RNA", at positions 339 to 795 of the family's 1533-position model. The record is from RNAcentral.